Seriola aureovittata is the source of this 246-nucleotide long non-coding RNA. RefSeq lists it as uncharacterized. The record is from RefSeq and is a predicted model, not a curated record. NCBI's taxonomy places the organism in Eukaryota, Metazoa, Chordata, Actinopteri, Carangiformes, Carangidae. The transcript is spliced from 3 exons.
CCUGAUCAUGGUGGCUCCCUCAACCAUUUUGGACCAAGGUCCAGGAAAGUAAUUUCCCUUUGAUCUGUUGGCUGAUCUGAUUUUGCUGACAGUGGAAAACCCCAGCGUGCUUCUAGAUGAGUUGCUAAGGGUGAGAGAGAGAGAGCUCUGGAGGUCCUGCCAACUCUGCCUCCCACAUCCAUCUACAAGAGAGGAGGAAACGUCUUCAGAUCCACCACUGAGGAGUCCCACAAGUCAUUUAUUGAC